Non-coding RNA from Desulfobacula sp., 76 nucleotides. NCBI's taxonomy places the organism in Bacteria, Pseudomonadati, Thermodesulfobacteriota, Desulfobacteria, Desulfobacterales, Desulfobacteraceae. The record is from Rfam.
AAUAUUUAUGGCCAAACCGAUCGUGAGGUUGGGACGGAAAGCCACGGAUCUUGAACAAGACAGCCGGGUUGCAGAC